This 450-nucleotide ribosomal RNA is filed under the name uncultured bacterium. RNAcentral's name for it is "partial 16S ribosomal RNA". It matches the Rfam family "Bacterial small subunit ribosomal RNA", at positions 338 to 795 of the family's 1533-position model. The record is from RNAcentral.
CCUACGGGGGGCUGCAGUCGAGGAUCUUCGGCAAUGGGCGCAAGCCUGACCGAGCGACGCCGCGUGCGGGAUGAAGGCCUUCGGGUUGUAAACCGCUGUCAGGGGGGAUGAAAUCAUGGUGGGUACUCCCAUCAUGUUGACAGAGCCCCAGAGGAAGCGCGGGCUAAGUUCGUGCCAGCAGCCGCGGUAAUACGAACUGCGCGAACGUUAUUCCGAAUCACUGGGCUUAGAGGGAGCGAAAGUAGGGUCGGAAAUGCCUUGGCUCAACCAAGGCACAGAGCUCUAAACUACUUUGCGUGAGUGAGUCAGGGGUGCACGGAACUUCCGGUGGAGCGGUGAAAUGUGUUGAUAUCGGAAGGAACACCGGCGGCGAAAGCGGUGCACUGGGGCUUAACUGACACUGAGGCACGAAAGCCAGGGGAGCGAACGGGAUUAGAUACCCCGGUAGUC